This 1365-nucleotide long non-coding RNA is filed under the name Apteryx haastii (Great spotted kiwi). RNAcentral describes it as "lncRNA (ENSAHAG00000001774.1)". The record is from RNAcentral. Lineage: Eukaryota; Metazoa; Chordata; Aves; Apterygiformes; Apterygidae.
AUGGCACCCAGGUGUCUGGGACCCCCCAUGCUUGGGGGCACCGGUGAUGGGGAGACCCCCGAGCCGGCUGCUGGCUUGGCCUGGGAGGUUGGGGGCCAGGAGAAAUGCMACCCCCAUCCCAUGCACCCCGCACACUUGGGGACGCAUCCCGCCGGCCCCUUCCCUGYGGCAUUUGGGGUCUCCACUUGCUUUUCCCUUGAAAACUGCACCAGACCCCGGCAGGUCCCAAAUACCCCGAGCGCCUGGGGGGCCCAUGGGAACGAGCAGGGACAUGUGCCUGCAGCUGCAGCGCGGGGCCUGGCUGGGGAUGUCCGGCUCAGUGAGGUGCUGGGAGCAGAUGGGUGCUGCCUGGGAAGCAGGUUGGGGACUUUGGGGACAGGGGACUGGAGAUGUGAGCYCCAUGCCAGGGCUCACGCAGGGAUCCCCCUUCCCGGGCAAUUCCCUCAUGUUUCCCCAGGUGCUUUCUCCAGCGGGCACGGGAGGACGGGGCAGUCUGUGGAGGGUGACGUGCCCAGAGCCCUGCCCUGCUCGUCCCCGGCACCCCUAGGUGCCACCCAGGUGACUCCCGGCCACGCCGUGGGUCCUGCCCAUCUCUGGGCGUCACCAGGCUUUGGGCGAUGGCCCUUGACACUCAUCCCUAAUGCUUUUUGUUGCAAGGCUUUAGCAGUGCCAUGUUAUCCCUUAUCCACUCCCCCCGGCAGCAUCGCAGCCCCAGGCUGGCGGCCSUGGGGACAUCUGCCGUGCUCAGGAACUGUCCCUGUCCCUGGCUGGUCCCCUGUCCAGCCUUCCCUGGGCUGCAGGGAUGUGGCACCCCUGACCCUCACCUCCCGCCCUGGGCUGGCCCGGGGACUUGUUCCCAGUGCCCCAUGCAAUGGGGCCAGAUCCUGCCCCCUGCUCCGGGCCAGGGACCGAGGGUGGCAGCUGCCCCGCAUCGAUUCCCCGGGCUUUGUCUGGAGGCUGCGCUGCGGCCUCGAAAAAUCCCAUUUGGCCCCUGUCCCUGCUCCCCCCGGGGGGCUGAAGGUGGCUGGGGACCUCCUGUGUGACAGCCAUGGGGUCACUUCCCAGUGCCCAAGCCCUCGGUGCAGGGAGCAGCAUCCUGCAAGCGAAGCCGCUCUGCGGCAGGGCUGUGUGGCCUCCGGCUUCCCGGGCCCAUCAGGAAGAGACGGGCAYGGAGGCACGGCACCGCCAGGGGCCUCCGGAUGGGCAGGAUGGGGGCGCCGAGACCUGGGCAUGGGGGCKCCUGUCUCUGAGAGGGUGGGGUGCCAGGACACGGAGCUGCCCAAAUGCAGGGACCAGGGAUUGCCGGUGUCCCUGCUGCCUCCCUGCCUGCUYCUGCCGGGCUCGGUGGGCAGAGCUGAAGGUUAA